RNAcentral lists this ribosomal RNA (465 nucleotides) under uncultured bacterium. RNAcentral describes it as "partial 16S ribosomal RNA". It matches the Rfam family "Bacterial small subunit ribosomal RNA", at positions 28 to 507 of the family's 1533-position model. The record is from RNAcentral.
GACGAACGCUGGCGGCGUGCUUAACACAUGCAAGUCGAACGGAAAGGCCCCUUUGGGGGUACUCGAGUGGCGAACGGGUGAGUAACACGUGAGUAACCUGCCCUUGACUUCGGGAUAACUUCAGGAAACUGGGGCUAAUACCGGAUAGGAAUCCUUGCUGCAUGGUGGGGGUUGGAAAGCUUCGGCGGUUUUGGAUGGACUCGCGGCUUAUCAGCUUGUUGGUGGGGUAGUGGCUUACCAAGGCUUUGACGGGUAGCCGGCCUGAGAGGGCGACCGGCCACAUUGGGACUGAGAUACGGCCCAGACUCCUACGGGAGGCAGCAGGGGGGAAUAUUGCACAAUGGGCGGAAGCCUGAUGCAGCAACGCCGCGUGCGGGAUGACGGCCUUCGGGUUGUAAACCGCUUUCAGCAGGGGCGAAGCUUGUGGUGACGGUACCUGCAGAAGAGGCACCGGCUAACUACGUG